RNAcentral lists this long non-coding RNA (1357 nucleotides) under Felis catus (domestic cat). Its description in RNAcentral is "lncRNA (ENSFCAG00000048326.1)". Lineage: Eukaryota; Metazoa; Chordata; Mammalia; Carnivora; Felidae. The record is from RNAcentral.
AUGACCAACAGCAAGAGAUUGUGAUUAUAGUUUUAGGUUCAGAUCAGACAUUUGGUUGUCAUAUGUAAUGGGAAGCCUCAGGGUCAGUCUGGAGUCCGAGGAGGAGGUGAAAACAUAGACAAGAACCGUGUUGUGGGAAGGAAUGGGAGAGGUAAGCAGGCGAAGCAGGUGUAGAAUGCGCCUGUGUGGAUAAUUUCAGCAGGCUCUGGGGUGUGGGAGUGACAGCAGACCCUGGGCUGUUCCAGGCAGGGAAAUAGUGGCCUGCAGUGUAGGCGCCCAAUAGGGAAAACAGUCGCCAGGGAGGGAGGAAUGGACUCUGGAGUGGUUAGUUUGCAUAUGAAGGGUACCCCCCUCACCAGCAUAUGAGACAUUCUCUGUGCCCAGGAAUUGGCUAGCCUUGGGAGGGGCAGUUCCACCAAGGGUCACCAGAGUCCCUGGAUAUCAUAACAGAGAAUACAGAAAGUAAAAGGUAUCAUUAAUGGAUGGGUGUCCAGCGGCACCCCAGAGUGGACAGCGUGUAUCUCAUGGUCACUUCUGGUCUCAUGGCCAAGUAGGUGGUGAGCUCCACCGGGAUGCUGUGCAAAGCCAGGAGUGGUUCUGACAUGGAUAAAAAACUGUAGGCAGAAGACAGCAUGUGUUGCUUCUGAAACAUGAUUGGGGCUUCCGAGAAGCUUCAUUCAACACCCUUACGUGCUGCAGAGCAACUAGAGGGCAGAGGAUGAUCUACAUGGUGGCACAGAGUGACAGCGAGAGAGUGUUGUAAGAGCCUCUAGAGCCAUUGAUGCAGCUCCUUUGUCUUUGCUGUUGGUGCCUCCACGCAAGUCUCACAUCAUCAGGAGGCAGAAUGUGAUUGGCUCAGCUUGGGUCAGCUGCCCACCCCUCUACUUACUGGAUCGUGUUGCUGCAACACCACACCAGUUCUGUUGCCGACACACAACUCCCCAUCCUCCCUGUGUGCUGAGGCUUGAGUAUGGAACUCAGUCCCGAGACAUGGAGAGGGAAGAAGGGAUGGGAGCCAGUUCCAGACCUGCUCUGACCAACAUCCCCCAGAAUGCUUCAGCCCUCGUCUCCUCUGCUUCGGGGACCUUGGGAGGCCACUGUGUUGUGGAGAUGACACCGGGAUUUAUACAUCUGUAGAAUAUUACCACCGAAGGCAAGUGAAGACAUGAUCUCCAAACCCAGCUUUUUCAGGUAUCCUGGCAUCGGCAGAGUUCUCUUCCCCUCAUCUUUGGAAAGUUUCGCAAGCUGGGCCCCUCCUGUGUGUAGCCAACAAUGAUGUUUUGUGUCUUCAUCCCGUUUGAAGGGCCUGGCACACAAACAGCCCAGCCUAUUCAUUCCUAGAGCAAUUUUACAUAUG